Molecule: unclassified non-coding RNA, 613 nt
Filed under: Hevea brasiliensis (rubber tree)
Lineage: Eukaryota; Viridiplantae; Streptophyta; Magnoliopsida; Malpighiales; Euphorbiaceae
Source: RNAcentral
GUGGGAAAGCUUUGACCAUCCUACGGAUACUAUGCUGCCAGGAAUGAAACUUGGGUUGAACCGAAGGACAGGCAUGGGCCGGUUCCCGGUAUCUUGGAGAUCAGCAGAUGACCCUGGAACUGGAAACUUCUCAUUUCGAAUCAACCCAAAAGGAUCACCGCAGGCCUUUCUUUGCAGGGAUACAGAAUAUAUUUGGCGAGGCUAUACUUGGCCAUUGAAAAGUUAUGCAGAUACAUCUAAUGUCAGUUUUGUCAACAAUGAUGAAGAGAUAUACCUGGCCUACUCUAUUUCUGAUGCUUCGGCUAUCGUUAGAACAAAGUUGUACAAUUCAGGACAUCUUAAGAAAUUAGCAUGGCAUGAAAAAGAUGGCAAAUGGAAGGAAUUUUGGUCGCUACCCAUGUCUCUGUGUUACAGAUAUGGGUAUUGUGGCACCUAUGGAAUUUGUGAUCUUCAAGACCAAACUAGUCGAGAAUUUGAAUGUGAUUGUUUACCAGGGUAUGAACCAAAGUUCCCAAGGGACUGGAAUAUUCUGAAAGAUGCAUCAGGUGGUUGCGUCAGGAAGCGGCUUGAGUCUACCUCAGUAUGUGGACAUGGAGAAGGAUUUGUGAAAGUG